RNAcentral lists this ribosomal RNA (327 nucleotides) under uncultured eukaryote. RNAcentral's name for it is "partial 18S ribosomal RNA". It matches the Rfam family "Eukaryotic small subunit ribosomal RNA", at positions 1470 to 1796 of the family's 1831-position model. The record is from RNAcentral.
CCCUUAGAUGUUCUGGGCCGCACGCGCGCUACACUGAUUCAUGCAACGAGUUUUGUCCUUGGCUGAAAGGCCUGGGUAAUCUUUGAACGUGAAUCGUGCUGGGGAUAGAUGAUUGCAAUUAUUCAUCUUCAACGAGGAAUUCCUAGUAAACGCAAGUCAUCAGCUUGCAUUGAUUACGUCCCUGCCCCUUGUACACACCGCCCGUCGCACCUACCGAUUGAAUGGUCCGGUGAAAUCUUCGGAUCUGAGAGAUGUUGGAUUAAUUUCUGACGCCUUUUGGAAAAGUCGCUUAAACCUUAUCAUUUAGAGGAAGGUGAAGUCGUAACA